AUGGCACGGAUAAACGACUCGAAGACCUAUACGGCGAUCAGGAUUUUGAGAAAACGAAUCCUCUGGCCUAUCCGCUAUUGGGAAAGUUUGCUGCCCUGCCAGGGACAUUUGUCAAAAUUUGCGGUAUCGAUAUUUAGAGAGACAACGCCGUCAGAUAUGUGAAGGGAUUGGCGGAUUCUGGAGCUGACGUCCACUCCUCUUGCAAAUUGAUGCGUUAAUCGAAACGUUAAAAGAUCUAUCGCACGUCUUUCGGCUGUAUGCACCGCACUUGGAAGUACCCCGGACGAGAGAACAGGACCGCGUUAGGAGCCUUAAUUGGGUAGUAAUAAGCGAACAGCAGCCAGAGAUUCUGAGUUAAAGAUAGUCUGGCUGAAGAUUCACAGGAAUGGAUUUAUGAGCGUCUAGGCUCCAGAUGAACUAAGUGAACUAAGUUAACAAUACCUCUGAUUUAAUCAACAAUUAUGUGAUCUGGCAAGCCUACUAGGGAGUGUCGGCUACCAAU
Molecule: small RNA, 502 nt
Filed under: Histoplasma capsulatum var. duboisii H88
Lineage: Eukaryota; Fungi; Ascomycota; Eurotiomycetes; Onygenales; Ajellomycetaceae
Description: Histoplasma capsulatum H88 hypothetical RNA
Source: RNAcentral